This 1715-nucleotide long non-coding RNA is filed under the name Chloebia gouldiae (Gouldian finch). RNAcentral's name for it is "Erythrura gouldiae (Gouldian finch) lncRNA (ENSEGOG00005010300.1)". The record is from RNAcentral. Lineage: Eukaryota; Metazoa; Chordata; Aves; Passeriformes; Passeridae.
UGGGGCGGGGCGCGGUGGGCGUGUCCCGCGCCCCCGGCCGCACCCGCUACUUCCAGACCCAUUUCCUGACCGCCUCGGUGCGGCUCUGCGACUGCCCCGGCCUCGUCUUCCCCUCGCGCGCCCCGCCCGAGCUCCAGGNNNNNNNNNNCCCCUCGCGCGCCCCGCCCGAGCUCCAGGUCCUGGCAGGGGUGUAUCCCAUCGCUCAGCUGCAGGACCCCUACUCUGCCGUGGGGUUUUUGGGGUCCCGCCUGGCCCUGCCCCCCCUGCUGCAGCUGCGCCCCCCCAGCGGCGGCGCCUGGACGGCCUGGGAGCUCUGCGAAGCCUGGGCAGAGAAGAGGGGCUACAAGACGGCGCGGGCGGCGCGGAACGACGUGGCCCGAGCGGCCAACGGGCUCCUGCGGCUGGCGGCCGAGGGGCGGCUUCGCCUCUGCUUCCGCCCCCCGGGCUUCUCCCUGGAAAAAGAGCGUUGGGAGCUCCACCCCGACACCGCGGCCUUGGCGGCCAUGACAGGGGGCGGGGCCGGCGCCCCUCCCCCCGCCGGCGCCGCCUCCAGCUCCGAGGAGGAGGGGGAGGAGCCAGGCGAGGCCACGCCCCCUCCCGGCCCCGCCCCCAACCCCUUCGCCCUGCUGGGGGAGGACGAGUGCUGAGCCACGCCCCCUCCCGGGCAGGAGCCAAUCGGAGCCCGCGGAUUAGCAUAUCGCCGUAUACGGAAUAAAGCCUUUAUUUCUGCACGGCUGAUUGGCCGGUCCUGGCGAGGCGGCGGCCAAUCAGAGCGCGGGGGCGGGGCCUGCGGAGUGAGGUCGUUGUUAGGCCACGCCCACAUCUCAUUAUGUGAGUUAGGCCACACCCACAUUUACUUAUUUGGAUUGGGUCACGCCCACAUUUCCUUAUUUGGGUUAGGCCACACCCACAUCUCAUUAUUUGGGUUAGGCCACGCCCACAUCUGAUUAUGUGAGUUAGGCCACACCCACAUUUCCUUAUUUGGAUUGGACCACGCCCACAUCUCAUUAUGUGAGUUAGGCCACACCCACAUUUCCUUAUUUGGGUUAGGCCACGCCCACAUCUCAUUGUGUGAGUUAGGCCACACCCACAUUUCCUUAUUUGGGUUUGGCCACACCCACAUUUCCUUAUUUGGGUUGGCCACACCCACAUUUNNNNNNNNNNUUUCCUUAUUUGGGUUGGCCACACCCACAUUUCCUUAUUUGGGUUGGUCACACCCACAUCUCAUUAUUUGGGUUGGCCACACCCACAUUUCCUUAAUUGGGUUAGGCCACGCCCAUAUCAUUAUUUGGGUUGGCCACACCCACAUCUUAUUUGGGUUGGGCCACACCCACAUUUCCUUAUUUGGGUUGGGCCACACCCACAUUCCUUGUGUUUGACCACACCCACAUUUCCAUAUUUUGGUCUGGCCACGCCCACAUUUCCUUAUUUGGGUUGGCCACACCCACAUCUCAUUGUUUGGGCUUGACCACGCCCACUUUGGUGUUUGGCCCCACCCACAUUCCUUAUUUGGGUUUGACCACGCCCACUUUCGUGUUUGGCCCCACCCACGUUCCUUAUUUGGGUCCUGCCCCACCCUUCCUUAGCCCCGCCCACAUUUCCUUUUAUGGACUCGGCCCCGCCCAAAAGUGCUGCCAUAUUUUGGCUUGGCCCCGCCCCUUUUCCGUCAGGCCCCGCCCCCACUGACCCGUGGGCGUGUCCUGCCCGGGUGGGCG